Musa acuminata AAA Group (dessert banana) is the source of this 911-nucleotide long non-coding RNA. RefSeq lists it as uncharacterized. The transcript has 2 exons. Lineage: Eukaryota; Viridiplantae; Streptophyta; Magnoliopsida; Zingiberales; Musaceae. The record is from RefSeq and is a predicted model, not a curated record.
UGUUCGGCUCCCGUGAAGUCCUCAUUCCAGGUAGCUAUAAUUAAGCGUUCCACCUGGAAGUCACUACAUGCGUUCGGUGGCACAGCGCGGGGUACCAAGUUUUUGGGGCCAACCUUCCGAGGAACUCUUGACCUCAUUAGAGUGCACGGCUGCUUAAUGACGAGUGGUCCAAGUUUAAAGGCACGCACACUGAAUCGGGACAGCCUCACCUCGGCUGCUUGACUGCAGGUAGUACAAAGAGUUCAUGGUCGUAUUAAAAGCUCCAUGGCUGGAUAGAUAAGACAUCAGGUCAAGUUACAGUCAGUGGGAAGUGACAGCCGCCCACGGCAGUGGCGGCAGCCCCCGAGGAGAUAAAGCCCACUUAACGUAGUAGAUCGAACACGUGAUCCUUGUGCGUGUUCUUGAGACGUUUCGUGCAAGAUGAAGGUAAGUCGGUUUGGGGGAGAAAGCCUCCUCUAUAUAGAGAGCCUCUCACCUCCGAUUGCUUUCCAUCUUACGCCACUGGGAGCUCAGUUCAUACCAGGCUCAACUCACUCGACCACAGAUAGUGUGCAGGGAGAAAAGGGUAGAAGAAGAAUGGAAGGGGGAAGGAAAGUGGUGCUAAGUGGAGAGAGGAAGUACAGUAGCCGCCGCUUGAUCCCCAGACGGGGGCAGGUGAAGGCCUCCAUCGUCAUCGGCCUCGCUCAGUCUCUGGCUGCCUUGUUCUCUCUCGCCGUCGCCCGCCUCGCUUAGAUCACGGCUACUGUUUCCUGAUGAUCUAUAUAUAUAUAUAUAUCUACAUAUAUGAGGGUGGAAAACCUUGGCUCUUCUCUUUGUAGUCAGCUCGCUAAACCCUGUUUUUCGUUGGGGUUUGAUGUAAACAUUGUGAACACAGUGAGAAUGAAGUUUUUCGUACCAUCUUUUUGCAUCCA